Molecule: long non-coding RNA, 4089 nt
Filed under: Sus scrofa (pig)
Lineage: Eukaryota; Metazoa; Chordata; Mammalia; Artiodactyla; Suidae
Description: lncRNA (ENSSSCG00040063819.1)
Source: RNAcentral
UUUUUUUUUUUUUUUUUUUUUUUGNCACCUGCAGCAUAUGGAAGAUCCCUGGCUAGGGGUCAAAUCAGAGUUGCAGUUGCCAGCCUAUUCCACAGCCACAGCAACACGGAACCUAAGCCAUAUCUGUGAUCUACACCACAGCUUGCAGCAAUGACACAUCCUUAAUCCACUGAUUGAGGUCAGGGAUGGAACCUGCAUCCUCAUGGAUACUAGUUGGGUUCAUAACUUACUGAGCCACAUCAGGAACUCCUAAAAGUCAGUAUUCUUAAAGUGAAAAUUUUAAACAUGCCAAGCAUUAAAUGCCUGUCUAGAAGUCUUUUUUUGGCUGUGCCCUUGGCAUGCAGAAGUUCCUGGGCCAGGGCUCAAACCUGAGCCACAACAGUGACAACACCAAAAGCUGAACUGGAUUUCCCUUGUGGUGCAGUGGCCUAAGGAUCCGGCAUCAUCGCUGCAGUGGUUCUGGUCACUGCUGUGGCUUGGGUUUGAUCCCCGGCCCAGGAAAUUCCACACGCCAAGGACACAGCCAAAAAAAUACAAAACUCCACCAAUGUAUAGUCUUAAUCUUUGUUUCAUAACAGAUAUUCUAGUUGUAUAAAAAAAUUUCUUUCAUUUGCAUUAACAUCAGUUGAAUUGCUAAAAAUUUGUCCAAAAACAUCUUUAAGUUAGGCAUUAGAGUACACACUGCUCCAGACAAACUCAUUUCCCCUUUAACAAUGAAAACAUUUUUUUUUUUUUUUGUCUUUUUGCUAUUUCUUUGGGGCUGCUCCCACGGCAUAUGGAGGUUCCCAGGCUAGGGGUUGAAUCGGAGCUGUAGCCGCCGGCCUACACCAGAGCCACAGCAACGCGGGAUCCGAAGUGCGUCUGCAAUCUACACCACAGCUCACAGCAACACCGGAUCAUUAACCCACUGAGCAAGGGCAGGGACCGAACCCGCAACCUCAUGGUUCCUAGUUGGAUUCGUUAACCACUGCACCACGACGGGAACUCCAACAAUGAAAACAUUUUAACCUGCUUGCCCUGCUUUUGGUUUUACUGUUGAAAUUGGUAUUACUUUUGCAAAUCUGGAUUUUAGAUCAGUUUCUGAUUUCAAGUUAGUACAUUCUACAAAUAUUCACAUCUCCUCUCUUUGCAUUUCUUCUACUGAAGUGUUUAUAUAUGACCGCUGUGACUCACAAUGAAUAUUCAGGCGCUUAAAAACAUCAGCCUUGGAGUUCCCAUCGUGGCAUAGUGGAAAUGAGUCAGACUAGGAACCAUGUGGUUGUGGGUUUGAUCCCUGGCCUUGUUCAGUGGGUUAAGGAUCCAACGUUGCCAUGAGCUGUGGUGUAGAUCACAGAUGCGGCUUGAUCUGGCAUUGCUGUGGCUGUGGCGUGGGCCAGUGGCUACAGCUCCGAUUCGACCCCAGCCUGGGAACCUCCAUAUGCUGUGGGUGCAGCCCUAAAAAGACUAAAUAAAUAAAUAAAUAUAAGAAAAAAUAAAAAUAAAAAGUGGAAUAUUUGGAUUUCCAGGCAUGAUAGAGAAGCCCAGGUUGAAACUGCCAAUUUAAGGGCUUACUUUUCUGAUACUCUGCUGUAUAGCAUAGGGAACUAUAUCUAGUCACUUGUGAUGGAAGAUGGUAGAGGAUAAUGUCAGAAAAAGAAUAUAUAUAUAUGUGUGUGUGUGUGUGACUGGGUUACUUUGCUGCUGUACAGCAGAAAUUGACAAACAUUAUAAUGUUAUAAAUCAACUAUAAUAAAACAUUUUUUUAAAAUUAAAAACAAAACAAAAAGGACUUACUUUGCCUCAAAAACCUGUUAUUUCUUGGAUCACCACUCAAUGAAUUUCAAUAAAUUAUCUCAACUUAUUAGUAUUCAUUUUAUUUGCAAGAAUGCUUGCUGUUCGCAGCAGACAGAACCCCAAACGCACACUUAUGACACGGCAGAGAAGGUAAAUUGACAUGGAUGGGUUCGUGCUAUGCUCUGGAUUAAGUAAACACUAUCAAGAUCGCACAACCCAUUUGAACAGUCUCAAUGCUGUCCAGCAUCUUUUGGUUGACAAAAUAAUAGUCUGAGUGGAACACAAGGUGGGCAUUAGAAAUUUAGAGGGAUGCAAGAUCAGAAAGUAAGGCGGGGAGUGAGGAAGCUCAGAAAGGAUGGAGAGCUACAAGCUUAUUUUCACCCAUGAGGAACAAGUAGGGAAAGAAAAAGCAGUCAGGGCAUAUUGAUGAGACCGGACAACCCUCGAAACAUUCGUUUUCUGGUAGGAUUGCAUCAACACUUGUUUGGGUAACUUUCUGUCAUCACUGGGAAACCUGUGGGACUUUCUCCUCCAAGAUGAAGCAGGCCCAUACACUUGCCACUUUCACUUGUUCCUUGGUGGCUGUGGCUGUGUGCAGUCUGCAGUUGGCUGCUACAGGGCCCUCCGAUGGCAUUAAUAUAGUGGGAAGAUAUCCGUGUACACAGAUUAUUUGUGUACAUGGUCUCAUAUUUGCCAGUUGACUUGAUUCAGUUUCAUACUUGGAUCUUUCUCUUCUAUGCUCUCUAUUUCAUUCCUUGAAUAAGCCAAACCUUUCUGUAAGCUGAGACUUUGGUAAAGUCCCUUCCUUGCCAGUUUACCCUGACUUUGUACCCACAUUUCAAAGCUGAGCUAUUCUUACUCCUUUGAUUACUGGAGUUGCCAAAUCCCUUUUUGUCUAGGCUACUGGUUUCAUGUAGAAGCUUCUCCUCACCUACUUCAUCCAAAUGUGGUUGCUAUAUAAAUAAAGGCACAUACAUACAAUGAAUUAUGAUAUAGCCUGAAUAAAGAGUGAUGUAGAUCUAUUUAUACACUGAUAUGGAUUAUUAGGUUAAAAGGAAAAAGUCACCAAAGUCACCAAACAUUUGGAGAGAGUGUGUGUGUGUGUGUAUGCAUAUUUAUAAUUGCAUAGAAAUAGUUCUGGAAGGAUACACUUUUUUUGGCUGCGCCCAAAACACAUAGAAAUUGCAGGGAUCAAACCUGCACCAGAGCAGUGACCAGAGCCACAGUAGUGACAAUGCCAGAUCCUUAAUUCACUGAGCCACCAGGGAACUCCUGGAAGGAUAAAUUCUAAACUCUUGACUCCUGGAUUGGAAUACAUAUGCACAUACAUACAUACAUACAUACACAUAUAUAAUAUAUAUAUAUUUUUUGGAGUUCCCAUGGUGGUGCAGUGGAAACCAAUCCGACUAGUAUCCAUGAGGAUGCAGGUUCGAUCCCUGGCCUCGUUCAGUGGGUUAAGUGGGCAUUGCCAUGAGCUGUGGUGUAGGUCACAGAUGUGCCUCAGAUCCUGAGUUGCUAUGGCCUAGGCCAGCAGCUAUAGCUCCGAUUUGACCCCUAGCCUGGGAACUUCCAUAUGCCACAGGUGUGGCCCUAAAAAAACAAACAAAAAUUCAAACUGGAGUUUGCUCUAUGGGGCAGGGGUUGAGAAUCCUGCCCCACAGAGCAGGAUUGUGUUGUCUUUGUGGUGGCGCAGUUUUGAUCCCUGGCUGAGGGCAGUGGGUUGGGGAUCCUGCGUUGGCGCAGCUGCGGCUCAGAUUCAGUCCCUGGCCUGGGAACUUCCAUGUACCACCAGUGGGGCCAAAAAAAAUUUUUUCGUUUCAAACAUACAGAAAAGUUGGAACACCUGAAGAUCCACCACCUAGAUUCAGCAAUUACUAACAUUUUACCAUAUUCACAUAAUAAGUAAUAAAAAUAAAUAAAUGCUAAACCAUUGGAAACUUCAUUCCUAAAUAUUUAAGCACUUAAUUCCUGAGAAUGACAUUCUCUUACAUAGUCACAAUGCCAUGAUUAAACAUAAAAAUUAAUACUAAUCCCUUUUAAUCAUCUAAUAGCUACUCCAUGUAAAAAUCAUCCCCCCCAAAGGAGUUCCCUGGUGGCACAGUGAGUUAAGGAUCAAGCAUUGUCACUGCUGAGGCUCUGGUCACUGCUGUCGUGUGAGUUUGAUUUCUGGCCAGGGAACUUCUGCGUGCUGUAGGUGGGGCCAAAAAAAAAGGAUCCAAAUUUCCCCAAAACAUCUUUCCCGGGUGGUUUUUCUCCAACCCCAGAUCCAGUCCAGGCUCGUGUAUUGCACCUGAUUGUAAUGGUAUGUACUGUGAG